Molecule: unclassified non-coding RNA, 2193 nt
Filed under: Neodiprion lecontei (redheaded pine sawfly)
Lineage: Eukaryota; Metazoa; Arthropoda; Insecta; Hymenoptera; Diprionidae
Description: aTP-dependent RNA helicase p62, transcript variant X2
Source: RNAcentral
AGAAUCUAGAAGGAGAAUGAUGUUCUAGGUUGGUUAUAAUUUUUCUAUGGUUUGGUCCCUCUUUCCGUCCCGAGCCGUGAGAAAGACAUCUCGCGGCAGUUGACAAACAGCGAGCGCUGAAAAAUUUUCGAUUUUCAGCAUUUACAAUCAGCUCGUAAUUAACGGGACCGGGAAAGCAGCGACCAAGUUAAAUCAAAGAUUUCAAACGCCAAACGGACAUGAUCAAUAACCGGAUUUUCGUCACUCGACGGACAAUCGAUGUUGCUGCUGCUGUUCUUGGCUUCUUGCCGACGACCUAUGGUGGAUCAACUAGUGGAUACCGUAGUGGAGGUGGUCGCGGAGGAGGUGGCGGGGGUCAGAGAAAUGGUUAUGGUGGUGGCGGCGGAGGUGGGAGCAGUAGCAGUGGUCGUUUUGGCAGCAGAGGAGGAGGUGGAGGUGGCAGUAGCCGUGGAGGCGGUGGAGGUCGAGGAGGCAGCAGUCUGAGGAAACCAAACUGGGACUAUGAGAACCUGAAACCAUUCAAAAAAGACUUCUAUGUUCCCCACUCUAACGUAUCCAGCCGGCUGCCUCGCGAGGUGGAAAUUUACAGAGGAGACAAGCAGAUCACCCUCAAGGGCGACAGCAUUCCAAACCCUAUUCAGUAUUUCGAGGAGGGGAAUUUUCCUGACUAUGUAAUGCAGGGAAUUAGAAAGCAGGGAUUUGCAGAACCAACAGCAAUUCAGGCUCAGGGAUGGCCCAUUGCCAUGUCUGGACGCAACAUGGUCGGCAUCGCUCAAACUGGAUCAGGAAAAACUCUAGGUUACGUUCUCCCAGCCAUUGUUCAUAUCAACAAUCAGCAGCCUCUGAAUCACGGUGAUGGACCCAUCGCUCUGAUCCUUGCACCGACCAGAGAACUCGCGCAGCAAAUUCAGACGGUUGCUACAGAAUUCGGCUCUCUUUCCUAUGUCAGAAGCACGUGCAUAUUUGGUGGAGCACCUAAGGGAGGCCAGGCUCGGGACCUGGAGCGAGGGGUCGAGAUUUGCAUUGCCACUCCUGGUCGCCUGAUAGAUUUUCUUGAAAGGGGCACUACUAAUUUACGCAGAUGCACGUACUUGGUAUUAGACGAAGCUGACAGAAUGCUUGAUAUGGGAUUUGAACCUCAAAUCAGAAAAAUCAUUGAGCAGAUCAGACCUGACAGGCAAGUACUGAUGUGGUCUGCAACUUGGCCAAAAGAAGUUCGCAACCUUGCUGAAGAGUAUUUAACUGAUUACACGCAACUGAAUAUCGGCUCGCUCACACUUUCUGCGAACCACAACAUUCUGCAGAUUAUCGAUGUUUGCCAAGAGCAUGAAAAAGAAACCAAAUUGGGAAGCCUGCUGCAAGAAAUUGGAAACGUUAACGACGAUGGCGGAAAGACAAUUAUAUUUGUUGAGACUAAAAAAAAGGUUGAGAACAUCACAAGAAACAUCCGCAGAUACGGGUGGCCAGCAGUAUGUAUGCAUGGCGACAAAUCGCAGCAAGAGCGUGAUUACGUUCUCAGAGAGUUUAGAAACAAGAAGGGUUCAAUCCUUGUAGCGACAGAUGUUGCUGCGCGUGGCCUGGAGGCACAUGGUGCACAGAUUGAUAUAAGAGUGUUCAGAAACGGCUAUAAAUUUCUGACUGUCUGUGUUCCUAGAAACUAUAUAUAGUAUGCUACCUCAGCUAGUAUGCAUAUAUAUAUAUAGAUAACGUACGUAAUAGCGCAAUAUCGUUUGUGCAAUUGUACGUAAUGUGCCUCUGGUACUGCCUAUGUACCACUCGAGUGUCAUUGUGGUGCAAAGGUACAAAUCACGCCACGCUGUAUGGUUAUGGGUAAGAGAUGUCGAAGGUUUGGUACAUUGAAAAUGUCAAUACAACCAUACCACUCUCUAUAAUCAAGCCACAGCAAAUGUGAGACAACAAUCUAUUGAUUUUGCUACUAUUGCUACUCUCUGCUCUGUGAGGAUCAGUAAGACGGGACUUACUUUGUCGACUAGACUCGUUAUUGAAGGUAAACGUUUAUCAAGAACGCUGUUAGCUGGAAUAAAAUAUCUAAUGAUGUGGAUGACGUAAGGUACGUGAUCAAUUUCGACUACCCGUCAUCGUCAGAAGACUACAUUCACAGAAUCGGUAGAACGGGCCGAUCGCAAAGUACAGGAACAAGCUACGCUUUCUUCACCCCACAGAAUGGCAGAC